GAAUCUUAACGACUGCCCGNGUAUGUCAUCCUAANAUGGUNCACGUUGUAUUCUAUGGUCUCAGCANUGAGACCGCUCGGUCGUGUACAGCCUAACACAUGCAAGUCAAACGGUAGCACAGAGAGCUUGCUCUCGGGUGACGAGUGGCGGACGGGUGAGUAAUGUCUGGGAAACUGCCUGAUGGAGUGGGGAUAACUACUGGAAACGGUAGCUAAUACCGCGUAACGUCGCAAGACCAAAGAGGGGGACCUUCGGGCCUCUUGCCAUCAGAUGUGCCCAGAUGGGAUUAGCUAGUAGGUGGGGUAACGGCUCACCUAGGCGACGAUCCCUAGCUGGUCUGAGAGGAUGACCAGCCACACUGGAACUGAGACACGGUCCAGACUCCUACGGGAGGCAGCAGUGGGGAAUAUUGCACAAUGGGCGCAAGCCUGAUGCAGCCAUGCCGCGUGUAUGAAGAAGGCCUUCGGGUUGUAAAGUACUUUCAGCGGGGAGGAAGGUGUUGUGGUUAAUAACCACAGCAAUUGACGUUACCCGCAGAAG
RNAcentral lists this ribosomal RNA (540 nucleotides) under uncultured bacterium. Its description in RNAcentral is "bacterial SSU rRNA". It matches the Rfam family "Bacterial small subunit ribosomal RNA", at positions 1 to 487 of the family's 1533-position model. The record is from RNAcentral.